This 2922-nucleotide ribosomal RNA is filed under the name Staphylococcus aureus. RNAcentral describes it as "23S ribosomal RNA". It matches the Rfam family "Bacterial large subunit ribosomal RNA". Lineage: Bacteria; Bacillati; Bacillota; Bacilli; Caryophanales; Staphylococcaceae. The record is from RNAcentral.
UUAAGUUAUUAAGGGCGCACGGUGGAUGCCUUGGCACUAGAAGCCGAUGAAGGACGUUACUAACGACGAUAUGCUUUGGGGAGCUGUAAGUAAGCUUUGAUCCAGAGAUUUCCGAAUGGGGAAACCCAACAUGAGUUAUGUCAUGUUAUCGAUAUGUGAAUACAUAGCAUAUCAGAAGGCACACCCGGAGAACUGAAACAUCUUAGUACCCGGAGGAAGAGAAAGAAAAUUCGAUUCCCUUAGUAGCGGCGAGCGAAACGGGAAGAGCCCAAACCAACAAGCUUGCUUGUUGGGGUUGUAGGACACUCUAUACGGAGUUACAAAGGACGACAUUAGACGAAUCAUCUGGAAAGAUGAAUCAAAGAAGGUAAUAAUCCUGUAGUCGAAAAUGUUGUCUCUCUUGAGUGGAUCCUGAGUACGACGGAGCACGUGAAAUUCCGUCGGAAUCUGGGAGGACCAUCUCCUAAGGCUAAAUACUCUCUAGUGACCGAUAGUGAACCAGUACCGUGAGGGAAAGGUGAAAAGCACCCCGGAAGGGGAGUGAAAUAGAACCUGAAACCGUGUGCUUACAAGUAGUCAGAGCCCGUUAAUGGGUGAUGGCGUGCCUUUUGUAGAAUGAACCGGCGAGUUACGAUUUGAUGCAAGGUUAAGCAGUAAAUGUGGAGCCGUAGCGAAAGCGAGUCUGAAUAGGGCGUUUAGUAUUUGGUCGUAGACCCGAAACCAGGUGAUCUACCCUUGGUCAGGUUGAAGUUCAGGUAACACUGAAUGGAGGACCGAACCGACUUACGUUGAAAAGUGAGCGGAUGAACUGAGGGUAGCGGAGAAAUUCCAAUCGAACCUGGAGAUAGCUGGUUCUCUCCGAAAUAGCUUUAGGGCUAGCCUCAAGUGAUGAUUAUUGGAGGUAGAGCACUGUUUGGACGAGGGGCCCCUCUCGGGUUACCGAAUUCAGACAAACUCCGAAUGCCAAUUAAUUUAACUUGGGAGUCAGAACAUGGGUGAUAAGGUCCGUGUUCGAAAGGGAAACAGCCCAGACCACCAGCUAAGGUCCCAAAAUAUAUGUUAAGUGGAAAAGGAUGUGGCGUUGCCCAGACAACUAGGAUGUUGGCUUAGAAGCAGCCAUCAUUUAAAGAGUGCGUAAUAGCUCACUAGUCGAGUGACACUGCGCCGAAAAUGUACCGGGGCUAAACAUAUUACCGAAGCUGUGGAUUGUCCUUUGGACAAUGGUAGGAGAGCGUUCUAAGGGCGUUGAAGCAUGAUCGUAAGGACAUGUGGAGCGCUUAGAAGUGAGAAUGCCGGUGUGAGUAGCGAAAGACGGGUGAGAAUCCCGUCCACCGAUUGACUAAGGUUUCCAGAGGAAGGCUCGUCCGCUCUGGGUUAGUCGGGUCCUAAGCUGAGGCCGACAGGCGUAGGCGAUGGAUAACAGGUUGAUAUUCCUGUACCACCUAUAAUCGUUUUAAUCGAUGGGGGGGACGCAGUAGGAUAGGCGAAGCGUGCGAUUGGAUUGCACGUCUAAGCAGUAAGGCUGAGUAUUAGGCAAAUCCGGUACUCGUUAAGGCUGAGCUGUGAUGGGGAGAAGACAUUGUGUCUUCGAGUCGUUGAUUUCACACUGCCGAGAAAAGCCUCUAGAUAGAAAAUAGGUGCCCGUACCGCAAACCGACACAGGUAGUCAAGAUGAGAAUUCUAAGGUGAGCGAGCGAACUCUCGUUAAGGAACUCGGCAAAAUGACCCCGUAACUUCGGGAGAAGGGGUGCUCUUUAGGGUUAACGCCCAGAAGAGCCGCAGUGAAUAGGCCCAAGCGACUGUUUAUCAAAAACACAGGUCUCUGCUAAACCGUAAGGUGAUGUAUAGGGGCUGACGCCUGCCCGGUGCUGGAAGGUUAAGAGGAGUGGUUAGCUUCUGCGAAGCUACGAAUCGAAGCCCCAGUAAACGGCGGCCGUAACUAUAACGGUCCUAAGGUAGCGAAAUUCCUUGUCGGGUAAGUUCCGACCCGCACGAAAGGCGUAACGAUUUGGGCACUGUCUCAACGAGAGACUCGGUGAAAUCAUAGUACCUGUGAAGAUGCAGGUUACCCGCGACAGGACGGAAAGACCCCGUGGAGCUUUACUGUAGCCUGAUAUUGAAAUUCGGCACAGCUUGUACAGGAUAGGUAGGAGCCUUUGAAACGUGAGCGCUAGCUUACGUGGAGGCGCUGGUGGGAUACUACCCUAGCUGUGUUGGCUUUCUAACCCGCACCACUUAUCGUGGUGGGAGACAGUGUCAGGCGGGCAGUUUGACUGGGGCGGUCGCCUCCUAAAAGGUAACGGAGGCGCUCAAAGGUUCCCUCAGAAUGGUUGGAAAUCAUUCAUAGAGUGUAAAGGCAUAAGGGAGCUUGACUGCGAGACCUACAAGUCGAGCAGGGUCGAAAGACGGACUUAGUGAUCCGGUGGUUCCGCAUGGAAGGGCCAUCGCUCAACGGAUAAAAGCUACCCCGGGGAUAACAGGCUUAUCUCCCCCAAGAGUUCACAUCGACGGGGAGGUUUGGCACCUCGAUGUCGGCUCAUCGCAUCCUGGGGCUGUAGUCGGUCCCAAGGGUUGGGCUGUUCGCCCAUUAAAGCGGUACGCGAGCUGGGUUCAGAACGUCGUGAGACAGUUCGGUCCCUAUCCGUCGUGGGCGUAGGAAAUUUGAGAUGAGCUGUCCUUAGUACGAGAGGACCGGGAUGGACAUACCUCUGGUGUACCAGUUGUCGUGCCAACGGCAUAGCUGGGUAGCUAUGUGUGGACGGGAUAAGUGCUGAAAGCAUCUAAGCAUGAAGCCCCCCUCAAGAUGAGAUUUCCCAACUUCGGUUAUAAGAUCCCUCAAAGAUGAUGAGGUUAAUAGGUUCGAGGUGGAAGCAUGGUGACAUGUGGAGCUGACGAAUACUAAUCGAUCGAAGACUUAAUCAA